RNAcentral lists this small RNA (273 nucleotides) under Mus pahari (shrew mouse). RNAcentral's name for it is "sRNA (MGP_PahariEiJ_G0008221.1)". The record is from RNAcentral. Lineage: Eukaryota; Metazoa; Chordata; Mammalia; Rodentia; Muridae.
CCCAUGGAAUGGUGGCGCACGCCUUUAAUCCCAGCACCCGGGAGGCAGAGGCAGGCGGACCUCUGUGAGUUCAAGGCCAGCCUGGUCUACAGAUCGAGUUUCAGGACAGCCAGGGCUACGCAAAGAAACCCUGUCUAGAAAAACAUACAAAACAAAACAACUCCAUAUAUAUAUUUGUUUUUUCUAGACAGGGUUUCUUUGCGUAGCCCUGGCUGUCCUGGAACUCACUCUGUAGACCAGGCUGUCCUCGAACUCAGAAAUCCGCCUGCCUCU